GAGAGCAAGAGCCCGGAGACGGUAUCUGAGACAAGAUACCGGGCCCUACGGGGCGCAGCAGGCGCGAAACCUUUACACUGCACGAUAGUGCGAUAAGGGGACUCCAGGUGCGAGGGCAUAUAGUCCUCGCUUUUGUACACCGUAAGGUGGUGUACGAAUAAGUGCUGGGCAAGACCGGUGCCAGCCGCCGCGGUAAUACCGGCAGCACGAGUGAUGACCGCUGUUAUUGGGCCUAAAGCGUCCGUAGCUGGCCAGGCAAGUCUAUCGGGAAAUCCGCGCGCCCAACGCGCGGGCGUCCGGUGGAAACUGCUUGGCUUGGGACCGGAAGAUCCAGAGGGUACGUCCGGGGUAGGAGUGAAAUCCCGUAAUCCUGGACGGACCACCGGUGGCGAAAGCGCUCUGGAAAGACGGAUCCGACGGUGAGGGACGAAAGCUCGGGUCACGAACCGGAUUAGAUACCCGGGUAGUCCGAGCUGUAAACGAUGUCUGCUAGGUGUGGCACAGGCUACGAGCCUGUGCUGUGCCGUAGGGAAGCCGUGAAGCAGACCGCCUGGGAAGUACGUCCGCAAGGAUGAAACUUAAAGGAAUUGGCGGGGGAGCACUACAACCGGAGGAGCCUGCGGUUUAAUUGGACUCAACGCCGGACAUCUCACCAGCAUCGACAGUAGCCGUGAAGGUCAGUGUGAUGAGCUUACUGGAGCUACUGAGAGGAGGUGCAUGGCCGCCGUCAGCUCGUACCGUGAGGCGUCCUGUUAAGUCAGGCAACGAGCGAGACCCGCACUCCUAAUUGCCAGCAACACCCUUGUGGUGGUUGGGUACAUUAGGAGGACUGCCAGUGCCAAACUGGAGGAAGGAACGGGCAACGGUAGGUCAGUAUGCCCCGAAUGUGCUGGGCGACACGCGGGCUACAAUGGUCGAGACAGUGGGAUGCAACGCCGAAAGGCGACGCUAAUCUCCGAAACUCGAUCGUAGUUCGGAUUGCGGGUUGAAACUCACCCGCAUGAAGCUGGAUUCGGUAGUAAUCGCGCCUCAGAAGGGCGCGGUGAAUACGUCCCUGCUCCUUGCACACACCGCCCGUCAAAGCACCCGAGUGAGGUCCGGAUGAGGCCC
Molecule: ribosomal RNA, 1110 nt
Filed under: Natrinema salaciae
Lineage: Archaea; Methanobacteriati; Methanobacteriota; Halobacteria; Halobacteriales; Natrialbaceae
Description: bacterial SSU rRNA
Rfam family: Archaeal small subunit ribosomal RNA
Source: RNAcentral